RNAcentral lists this ribosomal RNA (469 nucleotides) under uncultured bacterium. Its description in RNAcentral is "bacterial SSU rRNA". It matches the Rfam family "Bacterial small subunit ribosomal RNA", at positions 28 to 482 of the family's 1533-position model. The record is from RNAcentral.
GAUGAACGCUAGCUACAGGCUUAACACAUGCAAGUCGAGGGGCAGCAUGGUCUUAGCUUGCUAAGGCCGAUGGCGACCGGCGCACGGGUGAGUAACACGUAUCCAACCUGCCGUCUACUCUUGGACAGCCUUCUGAAAGGAAGAUUAAUACAAGAUGGCAUCAUGAGUUCACAUGUUCACAUGAUUAGAGGUAUUCCGGUAGACGAUGGGGAUGCGUUCCAUUAGAUAGUAGGCGGGGUAACGGCCCACCUAGUCUUCGAUGGAUAGGGGUUCUGAGAGGAAGGUCCCCCACAUUGGAACUGAGACACGGGUCCAAACUCCUACGGGAGGCAGCAGUGAGGAAUAUUGGGUCAAUGGGCAGAGCCUGAACCAGCCAAGUAGCGUGAAGGAUGACUGCCCUAUGGGUUGUAAACUUCUUUUAAUAAAGGUAUAAAGUCGGGUAAUGGGAUACCCGUUUGCAUGUACUUUA